This 219-nucleotide unclassified non-coding RNA is filed under the name plant metagenome. Its description in RNAcentral is "partial contains small subunit ribosomal RNA, internal transcribed spacer 1, and 5.8S ribosomal RNA". The record is from RNAcentral.
UUUCCGUAGGUGAACCUGCGGAAGGAUCAUUACAGAGUUCAUGCCCUCACGGGUAGUUCUCCCACCUUGAAUAUUUAUACCUUAGUUGCUUUGGCAGGCCGUGGAAACACCAUGGGCUCCGGCUUAUGCGUGCCUGCCAGAGGAAACAAACUCUGUUUUUAGUGAUGUCUGAGUACUAUAUAAUAGUUAAAACUUUCAACAACGGAUCUCUUGGUUCUG